Molecule: ribosomal RNA, 254 nt
Filed under: uncultured bacterium
Lineage: Bacteria
Description: partial 16S ribosomal RNA
Rfam family: Bacterial small subunit ribosomal RNA
Source: RNAcentral
UACGUAGGGUGCGAGCGUUGUCCGGAAUUAUUGGGCGUAAAGAGCUCGUAGGCGGUUUGGCAAGUCGGGUGUGAAAACUCCGGGCUCAACUCGGAGACGCCACUCGAUACUGCCAUGACUCGAGUCCGGUAGGGGAGUGCGGAAUUCCUGGUGUAGCGGUGAAAUGCGCAGAUAUCAGGAGGAACACCAAUGGCGAAGGCAGCUCGCUGGGACGUGACUGACGCUGAGACGCGAAAGCGUGGGGAGCAAACAGG